GUGCUUAACACAUGCAAGUCGAACGAACCUUCGGGUUAGUGGCGGACGGGUGAGUAACGCGUGAGAAUCUGCCCUCAGGAGGGGGAUAACGGUUGGAAACGACCGCUAAUACCCCAUAUGCCUAUUGGUGAAAUGAAUUUCGCCUGAGGAUGAGCUCGCGUCUGAUUAGCUAGUUGGUGAGGUAAUGGCUCACCAAGGCUUCGAUCAGUAGCUGGUCUGAGAGGAUGAUCAGCCACACUGGGACUGAGACACGGCCCAGACUCCUACGGGAGGCAGCAGUGGGGAAUUUUCCGCAAUGGGCGAAAGCCUGACGGAGCAACGCCGCGUGAGGGACGAAGGCCUCUGGGCUGUAAACCUCUUUUCUCAAGGAAGAAGAUAUGACGGUACUGAGGAAUAAGCCACGGC
Molecule: ribosomal RNA, 405 nt
Filed under: uncultured Prochlorococcus sp.
Lineage: Bacteria; Bacillati; Cyanobacteriota; Cyanophyceae; Synechococcales; Prochlorococcaceae
Description: bacterial SSU rRNA
Rfam family: Bacterial small subunit ribosomal RNA
Source: RNAcentral